GAUGAACGCUAGCGGCAGGCCUAAUACAUGCAAGUCGAACGAGAUUAAGAGGCUUGCUUCUUAUGAAAGUGGCGCACGGGUGCGUAACGCGUAUGCAACCUACCUUAAUCAGGGGGAUAGCCCGAAGAAAUUCGGAUUAAGACCGCAUAAAAACACAGGAUAGCAUUAUCCAAUGUUCAAAUAUUUAUAGGAUUAAGAUGGGCAUGCGUGUCAUUAGCUAGUUGGCGGGGUAACGGCCCACCAAGGCGACGAUGACUAGGGGAUCUGAGAGGAUGACCCCCCCCACUGGAACUGGGAAACGGACCAGACCCCUACGGGGGGCAGCAGUAAGGAAUAUGGGUAAAGGGAGGGAACUCUAAACCAGCCAGGCCGGGUGAAGGAAGACAGCCCCCGGGGUCGAAAACUGUUUUUAUUCGGGAAAAAACCUUUCCACGGGUAGGAAGCUGAAGGAACCGAAGGAAAAAGGAUCGGCUAACCCCGU
This 481-nucleotide ribosomal RNA is filed under the name uncultured bacterium. RNAcentral's name for it is "partial 16S ribosomal RNA". It matches the Rfam family "Bacterial small subunit ribosomal RNA", at positions 28 to 506 of the family's 1533-position model. The record is from RNAcentral.